Molecule: ribosomal RNA, 648 nt
Filed under: Bacteroides thetaiotaomicron
Lineage: Bacteria; Pseudomonadati; Bacteroidota; Bacteroidia; Bacteroidales; Bacteroidaceae
Description: bacterial LSU rRNA
Rfam family: Bacterial large subunit ribosomal RNA
Source: RNAcentral
AAAGAAAGUAAGCAAGGGCGCAUGGCGGAUGCCUUGGCUCUCGGAGGCGAUGAAGGACGUGAUAAGCUGCGAUAAGCUCUGGUAGGUGCAAAUAACCUUUGAUCCAGAGAUUUCCGAAUGGGACAACCCGGCAUUCUGAAGGAAUGUCAUCCAUCUUUGAUGGAAGCUAACGCAGGGAACUGAAACAUCUUAGUACCUGUAGGAAAAGAAAAUAAUAAUGAUUCCCCUAGUAGUGGCGAGCGAACGGGGAAUAGCCCAAACCACCCAUGUUACGGCAUGUGUGGGGUUGUAGGACCACGAUGUCGCAAGACAUUUGAUGAGUAGAAUCCUCUGGAAAGUGGAACCAUAGACGGUGAUAGUCCGGUAUACGAAGUCAAAUUAAGCGUAGUGGUAUCCUGAGUAGCGCGGGACACGAGAAAUCUUGCGUGAAUCUGCCGGGACCAUCCGGUAAGGCUAAAUACUCCCGAGAGACCGAUAGCGAACCAGUACUGUGAAGGAAAGGUGAAAAGCACUUCGAAUAGAAGAGUGAAAUAGUCCCUGAAACCGUGCGCCUACAAGCGGUCGGAGCUGCGUAAGCAGUGACGGCGUGCCUUUUGCAUAAUGAACCUACGAGUUACUUUUUCCGGCAAGGUUAAGCAUCUUGAGAUG